AAGAACGAUAGCGUAUCGGCAAGCGCCACGCUGUUUAAGACAACGCGGUCGGUCAAUGCCGGCGAAGCAAGAUCGUUACCUUUUCGCACCUU
This 92-nucleotide transfer RNA is filed under the name Haemophilus influenzae. RNAcentral's name for it is "tRNA-Leu". The record is from RNAcentral. Lineage: Bacteria; Pseudomonadati; Pseudomonadota; Gammaproteobacteria; Pasteurellales; Pasteurellaceae.